This 162-nucleotide ribosomal RNA is filed under the name Polyporus sp. 'Audet'. RNAcentral's name for it is "5.8S ribosomal RNA". It matches the Rfam family "5.8S ribosomal RNA". Rfam says of the family: 5.8S ribosomal RNA (5.8S rRNA) is a component of the large subunit of the eukaryotic ribosome. It is transcribed by RNA polymerase I as part of the 45S precursor that also contains 18S and 28S rRNA. The record is from RNAcentral. Lineage: Eukaryota; Fungi; Basidiomycota; Agaricomycetes; Polyporales; Polyporaceae.
ACAACUUUCAGCAACGGAUCUCUUGGCUCUCGCAUCGAUGAAGAACGCAGCGAAAUGCGAUCCGUAAUGUGAAUUGCAGGAAUUCAGUCGAAUCAUCGAAUCUUUGAACGCACCUUGCGCUCCUUGGUAUUCCGAGGAGCAUGCCUGUUUGAGUGUCAUGAA